AUUGAACGCUGGCGGCAGGCCUAACACAUGCAAGUCGAGCGAGAAAGCACUUCGGUGCGAGUACAGCGGCGGACGGGUGAGUAACGCGUAGGAAUCUACCCAGUAGUGGGGGACAACAGUCGGAAACGGCUGCUAAUACCGCAUACGCCCCAAGGGGGAAAGCGGGGGAUCUUCGGACCUCGCGCUAUUGGAUGAGCCUGCGUAGGAUUAGCUUGUUGGUGAGGUAAAGGCUCACCAAGGCGACGAUCCUUAGCUGGUCUGAGAGGAUGAUCAGCCACACUGGAACUGAGACACGGUCCAG
Molecule: ribosomal RNA, 301 nt
Filed under: uncultured bacterium
Lineage: Bacteria
Description: bacterial SSU rRNA
Rfam family: Bacterial small subunit ribosomal RNA
Source: RNAcentral